GAUGAACGCUGGCGGCGUGCCUAAUACAUGCAAGUCGAGCGAAUGGAUUAAGAGCUUGCUCUUAUGAAGUUAGCGGCGGACGGGUGAGUAACACGUGGGUAACCUGCCCAUAAGACUGGGAUAACUCCGGGAAACCGGGGCUAAUACCGGAUAACAUUUUGAACCGCAUGGUUCGAAAUUGAAAGGCGGCUUCGGCUGUCACUUAUGGAUGGACCCGCGUCGCAUUAGCUAGUUGGUGAGGUAACGGCUCACCAAGGCAACGAUGCGUAGCCGACCCGAGAGGGUGAGCGGCCACCCGAGGACUGAGACACGGACCAGACUCCUACGGGAGGCAGCAGUAGGGAAUCUUCCGCAAUGGACGAAAGUCUGACGGAGCAACGCCGCGUGAGUGAUGAAGGCUUUCGGGUCGUAAAACUCUGUUGUUAGGGAAGAACAAGUGCUAGUUGAAUAAGCUGGCACCUUGACGGUACCUAACCAGAAAGCCACGGCUAACUACGUGCCAGCCGCCGCAGUAA
This 515-nucleotide ribosomal RNA is filed under the name uncultured bacterium. RNAcentral describes it as "partial 16S ribosomal RNA". It matches the Rfam family "Bacterial small subunit ribosomal RNA", at positions 28 to 523 of the family's 1533-position model. The record is from RNAcentral.